Molecule: ribosomal RNA, 253 nt
Filed under: uncultured bacterium
Lineage: Bacteria
Description: partial 16S ribosomal RNA
Rfam family: Bacterial small subunit ribosomal RNA
Source: RNAcentral
UACGAACUGCGCGAACGUUAUUCGGAAUCACUGGGCUUAAAGGGUGCGUAGGCGGCUUGUUAAGUCAGGUGUGAAAUCCCCCGGCUCAACCGGGGAACAGCGCUUGAAACUAGCAGGCUGGAGUGAGGCAGGGGUGUGCGGAACUUCCAGUGGAGCGGUGAAAUGUGUAGAUAUUGGAAGGAACGCCGGCGGCGAAAGCGGCACACUGGGCCUUGUCUGACGCUGAGGCACGAAAGCUAGGGGAGUGAACGGG